This 1271-nucleotide long non-coding RNA is filed under the name Betta splendens (Siamese fighting fish). Its description in RNAcentral is "lncRNA (ENSBSLG00000013674.1)". Lineage: Eukaryota; Metazoa; Chordata; Actinopteri; Anabantiformes; Osphronemidae. The record is from RNAcentral.
UAAUAAAGGAUUUUUUUUUCACCUUCACCUUUGUUUGUUGAGUUGAAUAGUGCUAAAGAAGCCGUUUGGACACAGUAAAGACCUUCUGGCGACCUGCGACAGUGUGAACCUGACCCACAGACACCAGCCAAACCCAGACAAACGGGCUCAGACCAGGCUGACCCACUUCUGCUGUGGCGCUGCCUUGUUCCAGCCUGGCACGUGGCAGAAACAGACACACCGAGCUCAUGGCGGCUGCGAGGAUGUCGACUGCUGCGCUGCAUCUCCAUCCUCUAAGCUGAACCCACAUCUGAGGCUAACCUGAACUUUACAGCCAAAACCCGUCCCUCCAGCAGAAAGACACGACAAGACAAGAGGUGCUGAGUGCUCGCAUUCGCUCUGUACAAACCUCCGUCUCACUCUCUUGCACAGCUACGAUUUCUUCUUUACAUUCUUUAUUCUGGUUCUGGUCCACAUUCACUCCUCCGGCUCCAGCUCCAAGCAAUGGGCGACUCCUUGUCUGUGCUUCUGCUUCAGCUGAUGAACCUGACCUCUGACCUUUGACCCAGGCCUCUUUCUUUACUUCCUGACCUCCGUCCCUCCACGCAGGUAGACCUACGUAGAUGUGACUAAUCCUAAUCCUAAUCUGCUGUGGGAACAAGCUGCAGACGCACCGUCCCUUAACGUAACCUGACCUGGAUGACAGACCUCAAUCCAGUCUUUCCGCUCAGCGUGACACAGCAUGUUCUGAGCUAAUUACCGCAGGCUUGCACCACUCAUGUAUUUUUAGGUGUUUGUUGUUUUUUUUUCUCUUUGUGAUACAUUGUCAUAUUAUUAAAUAUAAUGUUUCCUAUAUGAAUCUAGAUUUCCAGUGUUUCCGCCGGUUUCUUCCUCUCCACCGUCUCCUGGUGCUGCUCAGUGGGAUUUCUUGGGUUUUCUCUAGAACUCCUGUUGCGUUUUGUGAGUUAAGGGAUAAUGAAGUGCGAUAUGAGGAGCCGCUUUCCUCUCUGGACCGAUCUGUCACAAUGACGCCACCGUCUUCCAGCAACACACAGAUGAGUCUGCUUCGGCUCAGGACAACAGCGACAAACACCGGCUGCAGCCCCCGAUGCUCCGUUUAACCUCGCAGGCCUGGAUCAGCACGGGGAUGUCCAGCAGGACUGAGGCCAAACAGAUCGAUGGGGCAUCAGGACAAACCCAAACAAGACGGCGCAGCUCACGGCGCGAGUCAGAUCCAUAGGAAACACCCGUUUGUCAAUAAACGCUACGCAAAACAUGCUGUAAUUCGAAGG